UUCUCCUGGAAACGGGUGGUAAUGCCGGAUGUUCCACAUGAUCGCAUGUGAUUGUGGGAAAGAUUCUAUCGGCGUGGGAUGGGGUCGCGUCCUAUCAGCUUGUUGGUGAGGUAACGGCUCACCAAGGCUUCGACGGGUAGCCGGCCUGAGAGGGCGACCGGCCACAUUGGGACUGAGAUACGGCCCAGACUCCUACGGGAGGCAGCAGUGGGGAAUAUUGCACAAUGGGCGCAAGCCUGAUGCAGCGACGCCGCGUGAGGGAUGGAGGCCUUCGGGUUGUAAACCUCUUUUGUUUGGGAGCAAGCCUUCGGGUGAGUGUACCUUUCGAAUAAGCGCCGGCUAACUACGUGCCAGCAGCCGCGGUAAUACGUAGGGCGCAAGCGUUAUCCGGAUUUAUUGGGCGUAAAGGGCUCGUAGGCGGCUCGUCGCGUCCGGUGUGAAAGUCCAUCGCUUAACGGUGGAUCUGCGCCGGGUACGGGCGGGCUGGAGUGCGGUAGGGGAGACUGGAAUUCCCGGUGUAACGGUGGAAUGUGUAGAUAUCGGGAAGAACACCA
This 554-nucleotide ribosomal RNA is filed under the name Bifidobacterium bifidum. RNAcentral's name for it is "bacterial SSU rRNA". It matches the Rfam family "Bacterial small subunit ribosomal RNA", at positions 145 to 711 of the family's 1533-position model. The record is from RNAcentral. Lineage: Bacteria; Bacillati; Actinomycetota; Actinomycetes; Bifidobacteriales; Bifidobacteriaceae.